RNAcentral lists this unclassified non-coding RNA (207 nucleotides) under Limonium wrightii. RNAcentral describes it as "ITS1". Lineage: Eukaryota; Viridiplantae; Streptophyta; Magnoliopsida; Caryophyllales; Plumbaginaceae. The record is from RNAcentral.
GUCGAAAACUGCACAGUUAAGCCACAYGUUAACUUGUUUUUAACCAUUCCAUGUUGUUUGUAGGAAGGUUGCCUUGGCUGCCUCCUACGAUUACAUGAACAAUUUUCGGCGCGGAAUGCGUCAAGGAAAACGGACAUUAACGUAAGGCUAGCCCUCUUGCUGCUCUUUGGUUGUAUGGAGGGUGUUGCAUCGUUGAAAUAUUUGGUU